RNAcentral lists this ribosomal RNA (410 nucleotides) under uncultured Pseudomonadota bacterium. RNAcentral describes it as "bacterial SSU rRNA". It matches the Rfam family "Bacterial small subunit ribosomal RNA", at positions 31 to 486 of the family's 1533-position model. Lineage: Bacteria; Pseudomonadati; Pseudomonadota. The record is from RNAcentral.
GUACGCUGGCGGCACGCCUAAUACAUGCAAGUCGAACGAAGUAGCAAUACUUAGUGGCAGACGGGUGAGUAACAUGUAGGUAUCUUCCCUUUGGUGAGGAAUAACACGAGGAAACUUGUGCUAAUACCUCAUAAGUCUUUACAGAGAAAGCUUUAUGCGCCAAUGGAUGAGCCUGCACUUGAUUAGUUUGUUGGUAGGGUAAUGGCCUACCAAGACAAUGAUCAAUAGCUGAUUUGAGAGGAUGAUCAGCCACAUUGGGACUGAGACACGGCCCAAACUCCUACGGGAGGCAGCAGUAGGGAAUCUUGCACAAUGGGGGAAACCCUGAUGCAGCGAUGCCGCGUGAGUGAAGAAGGCCUUUGGGUUGUAAAGCUCUUUCGUCGGGGAAGAAAAUGACUGUACCCGAAUAA